GAACCGGAAGUUGUUCUGCCAAACGUGGUUAUGAGAAAGAGCAGUCAACAUGUUUUGUCCAAGUUGUGGAAAAAAGUUGGUAGAGCAGUCACCAAACUUUUGCAGUGGCUGUGGCAAAAGACUUCAAGACUCUAUCACAGACCCUCUACAACCAUCCAAUUUAAAGAUGGACUGGACAGUCUUCAUUUUUUCACUGCAGUCCAGCAGUAUCCGAGUGUUCUGGCCCCAUUGUUAUACCUGACUUACAAGACCCUGACUGCAUCAGAUCUGGAGAAUAUAUUCAGACCAAGUCUCAGCCCAGCAGGAAGCAACAGGCGGCAGAAGGAAGCGCUAACACUUGGCUUUUGGGCAGAUUAUCUGCUUGAUUGUGAAGAGAAAGUGACAGCUGUGUCACUGGAAGAAUUAUUAAUGUUUGCAACAGGUUUGACUGCACUUCCACCAGCUGGGAUGACACCACCUCCAUGCCUAGAGUUUUCGAGUGAUUCACCUUUUCCUGUUGCCAACACCUGUGCAAAUGCACUGAAGCUACCACUCUCUGAAUCAUACAGA
Molecule: long non-coding RNA, 549 nt
Organism: Oreochromis niloticus (Nile tilapia)
Lineage: Eukaryota; Metazoa; Chordata; Actinopteri; Cichliformes; Cichlidae
Exons: 3
Source: RefSeq, a predicted model, not a curated record